GCAUAUCAAUAAGCGGAGGAAAAGAAACCAACAGGGAUUGCCCCAGUAACGGCGAGUGAAGCGGCAACAGCUCAAAUUUGAAAUCUGGCCCUCGCGGUCCGAGUUGUAAUUUGUAGAGGAUGCUUUUGGUGCGGUGCCUUCCGAGUUCCCUGGAACGGGACGCCAUAGAGGGUGAGAGCCCCGUCUGGUUGGAUGCCAAACCUCUGUAAAGCUCCUUCGACGAGUCGAGUAGUUUGGGAAUGCUGCUCAAAAUGGGAGGUAUAUGUCUUCUAAAGCUAAAUACCGGCCAGAGACCGAUAGCGCACAAGUAGAGUGAUCGAAAGAUGAAAAGCACUUUGAAAAGAGGGUUAAAUAGUACGUGAAAUUGUUGAAAGGGAAGCGUUUGUGACCAGACUUGGGCUCGGUGAAUCAUCCGGCGUUCUCGCCGGUGCACUUCGCCGGUCCAGGCCAGCAUCGGUUCGCUCGCGGGGGAUAAAGGCGUCGGGAAUGUGGCUCCUCGGAGUGUUAUAGCCCUUCGCACAAUACCCUGCGGUGGACCGAGGUUCGCGCAUCUGCAAGGAUGCUGGCGUAAUGGUCAUCAACGACCCGUCUUGAAACACGGACCAAGGAGUCGUCUUCGUAUGCGAGUGUUCGGGUGUCAAACCCCUACGCGUAAUGAAAGUGAACGGAGGUGAGAGCUACGGCGCAUCAUCGACCGAUCCUGAUGUUCUCGGAUGGAUUUGAGUAAGAGCAUACGGGGCCGGACCCGAAAGAAGGUGAACUAUGCCUGUAUAGGGUGAAGCCAGAGGAAACUCUGGUGGAGGCUCGCAGCGGUUCUGACGUGCAAAUCGAUCGUCAAAUAUGGGCAUGGGGGCGAAAGACUAAUCGAACCUUCUAGUAGCUGGUUUCCGCCGAAGU
RNAcentral lists this ribosomal RNA (897 nucleotides) under Thyronectria denigrata. RNAcentral describes it as "LSU rRNA". It matches the Rfam family "Eukaryotic large subunit ribosomal RNA", at positions 38 to 967 of the family's 3401-position model. The record is from RNAcentral. Lineage: Eukaryota; Fungi; Ascomycota; Sordariomycetes; Hypocreales; Nectriaceae.